Molecule: ribosomal RNA, 460 nt
Filed under: uncultured bacterium
Lineage: Bacteria
Description: partial 16S ribosomal RNA
Rfam family: Bacterial small subunit ribosomal RNA
Source: RNAcentral
CCUACGGGAGGCUGCAGUGAGGAAUAUUGGUCAAUGGACGAGAGUCUGAACCAGCCAAGUAGCGUGAAGGAUGACUGCCCUAUGGGUUGUAAACUUCUUUUAUAUGGGAAUAAAAUGUUCCACGUGUGGGAUUUUGUAUGUACCAUAUGAAUAAGGAUCGGCUAACUCCGUGCCAGCAGCCGCGGUAAUACGGAGGAUCCGAGCGUUAUCCGGAUUUAUUGGGUGUAAAGGGAGCGUAGGUGGAUUGUUAAGUCAGUUGUGAAAGUUUGCGGCUAAACCGUAAAAUUGCAGUUGAAACUGGCAGUCUUGAGUACAGUAGAGGUGGGCGGAAUUCGUGGUGUAGCGGUGAAAUGCUUAGAUAUCACGAAGAACUCCGAUUGCGAAGGCAGUUCACUGGACUGCAACUGACACUGAGGCUCGAAAGUGUGGGUAUCAAACAGGAUUAGAUACCCCAGUAGUC